UCCCUGGUGGCUCAGAUAGUAAAGCGUCUGCCUGCAAUGCAGGAGACCCAGGUUUGAUCCCUGGGUUGGAAA
RNAcentral lists this transfer RNA (72 nucleotides) under Bos taurus (domestic cattle). It matches the Rfam family "tRNA". From Rfam's summary of the family: Transfer RNA (tRNA) molecules are approximately 80 nucleotides in length. The record is from Rfam by way of RNAcentral. RNAcentral also lists the same sequence under 2 other names. Lineage: Eukaryota; Metazoa; Chordata; Mammalia; Artiodactyla; Bovidae.